Non-coding RNA from Arachis ipaensis, 690 nucleotides. Lineage: Eukaryota; Viridiplantae; Streptophyta; Magnoliopsida; Fabales; Fabaceae. The record is from RefSeq and is a predicted model, not a curated record.
GUUUAUUAGCCUAUGCUUGCUCACAAUACUCCUUUUCUUUUCUUCAAAUUUUCAGGUUAGCCCACUCAAUGAUAUUGAUAAAUAGUAAAUACAAACCUAGUUGUAGAAUUUUUUAUAUGAUUUGAGUAAUUAAUACUCAUAUAUUUGAUUUGAUUAGUAGGAUUCAGAUAAUGUACUAGUCAUGUCCUUCUGAUUGGUUGAUAAUUGUUUAUUAGAUUUUAGAAUGCUGAUAUUCAAUAAUGUAUAUCAAUUAAUCAAAUAAUACUAUUAUAAUUGCAGUGUCAAUGCAACUAUUGACAAGUAUAAGAAAGCAUGUUCAUAUUCAUCUGGUGCUGGAUCUACUUCCGAGAUUAAUGCUCAGGGGUGUUGAUGAUGAGAAGGAAUAUCAUGUGAAAUGGAAAGAGCUUCCAUAGGACUAAUGCUAUUGGGAGUUUGAGAUAGAUAUUUCAGCAUUUCAACUAGAAAUAAAAAGAUUCAAUAAAUUCCGGUCUAAAUCCAACAAACUUGCCUCCAUGAAGCAAAGAAGUAGUAUUAAGGAUGAUGUUGAAUUGAAGAAUUACAAUAUGUAAAUUUCGGUCUAGAUCCAGCAAACUUGAUUCCUACAUAUCUCUUUUUAUAUUUCUUGAUUUGGUUACAAAAUUACAAUGCAAACAUUAAUGUUUUAAUUUGUUUAUGACUUUCUUGUUUAUA